RNAcentral lists this transfer RNA (64 nucleotides) under Rattus norvegicus (Norway rat). It matches the Rfam family "tRNA". Rfam says of the family: Transfer RNA (tRNA) molecules are approximately 80 nucleotides in length. Their secondary structure includes four short double-helical elements and three loops (D, anti-codon, and T loops). Lineage: Eukaryota; Metazoa; Chordata; Mammalia; Rodentia; Muridae. The record is from Rfam by way of RNAcentral.
GGGGAUUUAGCUCAGUGGUAGAGCGCUUGCCUAGCAAAACACAAGGCCCUGGGUUCAGUCCCCA